AAAAUAAUGUUGCAAUGGAGCGGUCAUAUCGUGAUGUGCCUGAGUAGUCUUUAUAGGCCCAUUGAUGUCAUCAAGUAACAGAUACUGAAACAAAUCAUUAACAGUAAAAGCACAUCGGGUCAAAUCAGACCGGGCCGGAUCAAUGACCCGACCCAUAAAGCGCUCCACAUCCUGAAUUGUGACCCGUUCUUCUCCCUGAAACUCAAUCAAGAAGCGCAAAAAACCAUCGGGCAACAUCUCCUUUUCAUCUUUUGAAUACAAUUUGAAAACAUCGAUGACGUCAUCCGGUGGGCCCAAUUCGUU
This 303-nucleotide long non-coding RNA is filed under the name Helianthus annuus (common sunflower). RNAcentral describes it as "hypothetical non coding rna". The record is from RNAcentral. Lineage: Eukaryota; Viridiplantae; Streptophyta; Magnoliopsida; Asterales; Asteraceae.